ACUUAAAACUUGUUGCUCGAAAUUGGAAAAGCCAAGGAGACCGUGGUGCUGAAAUACGUGGGCCACUGUAUCCAGGCCUGGUAUUUAAGAAAAAAAUGAUAAGCAGUUUGCACUGAGAAGUAGUCGAACGGCUUCACCGUUGGAAGUCUGGACACAAGACUAACAGAGAAGACAUUUAAAAAAGCUCUGCAGGAGGGCCGAAGUUAAAAUUCGCGUUCAUUGACGGAUCAGCGUUGAAGCUCCAGAGAGCAUGCAAGAGUCCAAACUUUUCGUGCGUAGGCUUCAAGAACUAGAUGAAAGGUUUGUAAACACAAUCAUUAGAAAGAAUGAAAUUUUUUACAUGCCUUUCAGAUGCUCACCCAUGUGAAGAAUUAUACGAAAACUCUUUCUUUCUACAGGCUGCCUGUGUUACAAUAGCAGUUCUGAUACAAUAUUUCUUGAUGGCCGCUUUCCAUUGGAUGCUGAUUGAGGGAAUUGAUCUCUACUUCUUCGUUGUGAAAGUUUACAACAUCAACACCAAAAUGUACAUGUAUCACGUCAUCUCAUGGGCUGCUGACUUUCCUCGAUUAACAACCUCAUUUGGAUAUUCGUCGCCUAUGUAGCUUUCAUUGAGUUUAUGAUUAGUGUUGGUGAUUGUGAUUGGUAUACCUGUACUAAUUGCUGCCAAAUAUUUUGUCUCUGCUCUUUAAAAGCGAGUUAAGUAUUUAUGAAAUGACCCCGCACAACAUUUACCAUUUUUCUUUUCCUAUUUACUCACAAAAAACUUUGGACGUAGCCGCUGUUUGCGGGGAUGCUGGUCAAUUUUUACCUAUUGAUGUCUUCACAGGCAUAGGAUAGCUUCAUAAAUUCUCCAACUUUUGCUACAUAGUAUAAAAAAAAUAUUCUGCUUCCUUGUUGAUUUUUUCUCACUGUUUCACAUUGAUAUUUUGUCGCGCAAAAAUAAUAAAAAAAAAACAUUGAGCAAGAUGAAAGGAGCAGGAAGAUAUGGAGAUAUUAGGUUUAUAUAAUUUAACAUAAGGAUUCACUUUGCAUAGUUCACUCGGUUUAGACACUUAAGUUCGAGAUUCUUUAGCUCUUUGUCAGAGAAUCGAAGCUCAUAAUCUAGGUCCCCAAGUUUGGAGUUCUAUUCCCUGCAAAUGACUCUUCAUCCAACACUUGUUACCAAACUAGUAACGUCUUCGGCAUGGAUCCUCUCCUGUUUUGGCUAUUCGAUAACCAUAUCUAAAUAAUCAAUUUAUUUCUAUUACAUUCUUCAGCUCAACAUCUUGAUACUCGUUCGAGUCAUAAAGGAGAUGACCAAUUUGUCGCAGCCAACAGGGGAAGACGACCACUCUCAAAAAAUAAAAAACUAAAACAAAAAAGUGGAAGAGGUUGCCAUAUUCUCCUGUGAGGCUUUUCAAAAAAAUAUACCGAGAGAGAGCUACUAUGGAAGAUUGUUAAUCUCGAGUUAGAUUAGAGACAACUAUGAUAUUGUGUCAGUGGUGAGCUAAGAAGUAUUUUGUGGUGGGCCUCAAUCAGUUUUUUUAAGGAUAAUUAUUCUACUUCCUUUAAGAGUCUCUCCUUGGUAAGGAUAUAACAAGUUGUUUAAUAAAUUAGUUGGGUUUGUUUGUAGA
Pocillopora damicornis (cauliflower coral) is the source of this 1613-nucleotide long non-coding RNA. NCBI's taxonomy places the organism in Eukaryota, Metazoa, Cnidaria, Anthozoa, Scleractinia, Pocilloporidae. The record is from RefSeq and is a predicted model, not a curated record.